UAAUAAGUGUUUUAUGGCACUUUUUAAAUCCAUAUCCACCUUGUGUGCAAUGUCAGUCGAUCUUCUUCAUGGAGAUCGACCAAACAUCAACCUUUAUCUUUUAACUCUUUGUCUGAAAAAUAUUAUGAAUAAACAAUCAAAAUA
This 144-nucleotide unclassified non-coding RNA is filed under the name soil metagenome. RNAcentral describes it as "partial internal transcribed spacer 1". The record is from RNAcentral.